This is a long non-coding RNA of Xiphophorus hellerii (green swordtail), 139 nucleotides long. RefSeq lists it as uncharacterized. Lineage: Eukaryota; Metazoa; Chordata; Actinopteri; Cyprinodontiformes; Poeciliidae. The record is from RefSeq and is a predicted model, not a curated record. The transcript has 3 exons.
UUUUGUAAAAGUAAAAAUCAAAUGUCACCCCUCCCAGACCAAAAAGCACACAUCUAUAUUUGCCCUGAACACCCCCCUUGAUCUGCAUGAAAUGGUUUGUUCCUGCUUGGAGCGCUUGACGGUGACGGUGUUCAGCCGC